UGUUAUAUAUACAAUAAUAAUAAAGGACGUUACUGUAUACAUUUUUACAAACCAAGGACGUUAUAUAGACCUCCUUGACUCAAGUUAGAGAAGGGGUGCGUAUUAUACACAAGGUUUAGGUCUUUCAGAGGUACAACCUCCUAAAAAUCCCGUGCGUAUACACGUUUGCCUUAUGUUAUAUAUACAAUAAUAAUAAAGGACGUUACCGUAUACAGUUUUACAAACCAAGGACGU
Long non-coding RNA from Octopus sinensis (East Asian common octopus), 234 nucleotides. RefSeq lists it as uncharacterized. NCBI's taxonomy places the organism in Eukaryota, Metazoa, Mollusca, Cephalopoda, Octopoda, Octopodidae. The record is from RefSeq and is a predicted model, not a curated record. The transcript is spliced from 2 exons.